This 1836-nucleotide unclassified non-coding RNA is filed under the name Hevea brasiliensis (rubber tree). Lineage: Eukaryota; Viridiplantae; Streptophyta; Magnoliopsida; Malpighiales; Euphorbiaceae. The record is from RNAcentral.
CCCCAAUCCUCACCACCACUAGGGUUUUAGCGCCACCGUAGUCGGCUAGUCGCCAGAUCUUGCUAAUUACUUCUCAUGCAUUUCCGCCCCUAGCAUAUCACAAAAUGGGCGGCGCCACCAGGUUCCUCCUGCUUCUCACCAGCACCCCUCCGUCCCCGCUGCUCCCCCGCCGAUGCCCAGCUUUCCUCAGCUUCUCCCGCCAUCGUCACUUAUUCCCGUCNNNNNNNNNUCAUCUUCCUCCUACCUUCCUCACCACCACUACCGUAACCUCCCUUCUUCUCUCUCUCACUCUCUUGGUCGCCCCUUAAAAAUCGAAGCCUCCCACCAACUACACACCCAAACCGCCUCCGCCAAUUUCACUGAACCUUCCUCCUCCUUACCUCGGACCCCCCACCCGUGGCCUGAGUAUUACAAUUUAAUCCAUAAUCUCUCUUCUGCUGGGUAUUUUAAUAGGCAUAAAUUUGGUAUCCAAAUUGAUUUAGAGUUUGUGGCAGGCUUUAAUUUGCCAGAGGAUUUUGCAGAUGCUGCCACUGCUUGCUUGGCAUUCGCGCGCGAAAGGCCUGAUCUUUUAGGGAUGCUGUCGAGGAAAGAUAUUGAGGUGGUUGUUGAGCAAGGGAUGCCCUUUUUAUUUAAAAAUGGCGAUGGCUCACGAAGGAGGAUGAGGUCAUUUUUGGGCAGUGGCGAUAGUAAUGUGCAGAAUACAGAUAGAGCUCACACUAUUGACUUGAUGAGGUUUUUAUUAAGUUAUGCAAGCAGUCUUGUUUCUUUUGAGAAGAACAAUAUACCCAAUAGAGAACUUGUGGAAUCAUCUGUUAGGAAUCUCUUGAGUGAAUUGGCCCAGCUGAGCUAUGCUCCAGCCUCAAACCCAUCUGUGUCAGUGCAAAAUCAGUUCCCAGAUAGAUAUGGACAAGCACCAAGGCCUCUUGGUCAAAACAUUGAAAUGAAAAGAGGUGAUUGGAUUUGCCCAAGGUGCAAUUUCAUGAAUUUUGCAAGGAAUGUGAAAUGCCUUGAAUGUGAAGAAGCGCGCCCAAAGAGGCAGCUUACUGGUGGGGAGUGGGAGUGUCCUCAAUGUGAUUUCUUUAAUUAUGCAAGGAACAUGGUAUGCUUAAGGUGUGAUUGCAAGAAGCCUGGAGAGGUUUCAUUUGGUACUAAUUCUGGAUCAGGUCUGAGGUAUGCCAAUGGGAGCAACACAAAUAAGGCUGAUGUGGAUAGCAGGCUGGCUGCCAACGAAGAGAAGGCACAACGAUGGUUUAGCAAAAUUUCUCAGUUGGAUAGUUCCUUCAGACAUGAGCAGUGCCAUAGCUGAUGAAGAUUUCCCUGAAAUCAUGCCAUUGAGGAAAGGAGUCAACAGAUUUGUUGUCAGCACAAGGAAGACUCCACUUGAAAGGAGGCUGGCCAAUGCCCAGUAUCGAAGAAACUUGGGUAAUGAUGGCACUUUUGAGGGUGGUGGUCUUCAAAGCUCGCAAUCAAUCAAGAAAAGUUUAGAUGAGAUGUUGGGUCAUGAUACUGCUGCUUCUGAAUCAGAUAACAAGACUCUCAGUGCUGGUCAAAAUGCAGGAACAAAUGCUCCAUCUUCUGCGACUAAUUCAACUUCACCACAGUAUGGUGCCCCCAGGGGAAGCAAUUAUGUUCCAUUUGUGCCACUACCUGCAGAUAUGUUUGCCAAGAAACCUGAUGAAUUGAAGAUGGGUAAGAGCGAUAAGUCGGAGAUGGACAAUAAGUGCCUUUCUUCAAGCACUUGUGAGCAGGCAGAUGCAGUUUCUGGAAGAAAAGAACAUGGUAUAUUAUCAGGCAGUUGGCAGCCCUCUGAGAAGCCUGUGGACCAGACUCUGAGCG